UAACUGGACCCCUCAGCCUUUAUAUGUAUUGAACAUGCAGGUGUGCCUACAGGACCUGGUUUGUUCACAAAGCUUCUGAAGCAGAAAGAGAAUUCAUGGGAAUCACCAGAGGGUAACAUGAAUAACCAUCCUACAAUGCUGAACCUUUCACUUUUCUGGAAUAUGAAAGCAGACCAUUUUUCUGCUCUUACUGUAUUUCUAAGCAUUUAAAUUAUGUUUUCACUUCUCUUAAUCUCUGCUGACUGAUGAAUGACUUAUGCUAUUUGUGCCAACUGACACACAGCCAAACUUGCUACCAGAAUUUCAAUGACAUAUAGGUAAGCAGCAGCUCCCAGUUUCAUAAAUCUGGUUAGAAGAAUCAUUUCACUGUCAAUGGUAACAGCAAGAGGUAAAUUUAAAAAGCUCGCAAGGUUAUUAACUUACUAAAAGGCAGCAGAAUUGUGUAAAUGAUAAAAAUUACUGAAAGUCAGAUUGCUGUGUUGCCUCUAAUGACAGUUACCUGUGUCACAUAAACAUUGUUCCUUUUUCUGGUUGGCAAUGGUAUAACAUGGAGAAGUACGUGGCAAAAUAUAGAAGACUUAAGGCCUCAAUGUGAAAAGAGGAGAUUCACUUAGAAAGCAGAAGGAUGAAGAAAGGAGCAGAGGAAGAAAAGGGGAAGAAAUAUGUACUGACUACAGCUUUCUGCACCUCCUUCUCCACUGGUGGGCCUGAACAUAGCCUAUGGAGAGGACAAGGGAAGUGAAGACAAGGAAGGGGAGAGGAGGAGUGUCCAGAGUGAUGCAGAGCCUGGGGAAGGGAGAGGAAAGGUGUUUCCCCCAUGUGUAUAAGAGUCUGUCUUCUUUGUUUCUCAAUAUCUGAAUCAGCAGUUAUGUUAGUAUUUAUGUUAACUGGCAAUAAAUUAAGCUAAAUUCUCCAAGCCAAGUCUAUUUUACCCAUGACAAUGUUUCUUAUGUCAGUAUGUAAAGAGAGAUGCUUUGUACUUGGAUAUUAAAAGUUUGGCAUUGGAAAUAAAUUAUCUGGUAAUUAAUUCAAUGUGGUAUAGUUUCAAAA
Long non-coding RNA from Numida meleagris (helmeted guineafowl), 1050 nucleotides. RefSeq lists it as uncharacterized. The record is from RefSeq and is a predicted model, not a curated record. The transcript has 2 exons. Lineage: Eukaryota; Metazoa; Chordata; Aves; Galliformes; Numididae.